GCCAGCAUGGCAUAGUGGUUUGAGCAUUGGACUACAACUCUGGAGGCCAGGGUUCAAUUCCCAGUUCAGCCA
Molecule: transfer RNA, 72 nt
Filed under: Phrynosoma platyrhinos (Desert horned lizard)
Lineage: Eukaryota; Metazoa; Chordata; Lepidosauria; Squamata; Phrynosomatidae
Description: tRNA-OTHER
Rfam family: tRNA
About the family: Transfer RNA (tRNA) molecules are approximately 80 nucleotides in length. Their secondary structure includes four short double-helical elements and three loops (D, anti-codon, and T loops). Further hydrogen bonds mediate the characteristic L-shaped molecular structure. tRNAs have two regions of fundamental functional importance: the anti-codon, which is responsible for specific mRNA codon recognition, and the 3' end, to which the tRNAs corresponding amino acid is attached (by aminoacyl-tRNA synthetases). tRNAs cope with the degeneracy of the genetic code in two manners: having more than one tRNA (with a specific anti-codon) for a particular amino acid; and 'wobble' base-pairing, i.e. permitting non-standard base-pairing at the 3rd anti-codon position.
Source: RNAcentral